RNAcentral lists this ribosomal RNA (253 nucleotides) under uncultured bacterium. RNAcentral's name for it is "partial 16S ribosomal RNA". It matches the Rfam family "Bacterial small subunit ribosomal RNA", at positions 524 to 776 of the family's 1533-position model. The record is from RNAcentral.
UACAGAGGGUGCGAGCGUUAAUCGGAAUUACUGGGCGUAAAGCGCGCGUAGGCGGCUUUGCAAGUCGGGUGUGAAAUCCCCAGGCUUAACCUGGGAACUGCAUUCGAGACUGCAUUGCUAGAGUAUGGGAGAGGGAAGUGGAAUUUCAGGUGUAGCGGUGAAAUGCGUAGAUAUCUGAAGGAACACCGGUGGCGAAGGCGGCAUCCUGGACCGGCAUUGACGCUGAGGAGCGAAAGCCAGGGGAGCAAACGGG